CAAACAUUGAGUUUUUUAGCUUAUUAACUCUCAGAGCACCCAGUACAUCUUAUUUAGAAUUGCAGGAACCCAUUUUUGUUUCUCUACAGCAGUCGAAGCUUGUUUCAUAGAUCUUGCAAGACUAUUGAAUCAUUCAGUUAAAAUUCCUUGACCUCCUGCUGGAUGAUGUUCGACAGGGCAUUCAUCUUCACGACACCCUUCGCGAUGAAUGGUAACAUCUGGGCGGGUAGAGGUCCAUUUCUACAGCAACCUGGGCGAAGGGCAUAUACCGGAGCCCCGACCGCUCAUGCCCAGUAAUGCUUUCUCUGGGUUCUAACUACGUGAUCAGGUCGUCUCGGUUUGCCAGGGAAAGCCCAGCGUCUUGACAACCCUGUCAGUUCCGAACAAACCGGGUCGAUUGGUCACCGGGGCUCGAAUCCCGACUGAUAUGACCCAGCGGGGACAGAGGAUAACCCUCAGUGCCACAAGUACAUUUCCC
RNAcentral lists this long non-coding RNA (478 nucleotides) under Pan troglodytes (chimpanzee). Its description in RNAcentral is "long non-coding RNA NONPTRT013300". The record is from RNAcentral. Lineage: Eukaryota; Metazoa; Chordata; Mammalia; Primates; Hominidae.